UGGGGAAUCUUGCGCAAUGGGCGAAAGCCUGACGCAGCCAUGCCGCGUGAAUGAUGAAGGUCUUAGGAUUGUAAAAUUCUUUCACCGGGGACGAUAAUGACGGUACCCGGAGAAGAAGCCCCGGCUAACUUCGUGCCAGCAGCCGCGGUAAUACGAAGGGGGCUAGCGUUGCACGGAAUUACUGGGCGUAAAGGGAGCGUAGGCGGACAUUUAAGUCAGGGGUGAAAUCCCGGGGCUCAACCUCGGAAUUGCCUUUGAUACUGGGUGUCUUGAGUGUGAGAGAGGUAUGUGGAACUCCGAGUGUAGAGGUGAAAUUCGUAGAUAUUCGGAAGAACACCAGUGGCGAAGGCGACAUACUGGCUCAUUACUGACGCUGAGGCUCGAAAGCGUGGGGAGCAAACAGGAUUAGAUACCCUGGUAAUCCACGCCGUAAACGAUGAUUGCUAGUUGUCGGGAUGCAUGCAUUUCGGUGACGCAGCUAACGCAUUAAGCAAUCCGCCUGGGGAGUACGGUCGCAAGAUUAAAACUCAAAUGAAUUGACGGGGUCAUAGCUGUUUCCUG
This 561-nucleotide ribosomal RNA is filed under the name uncultured bacterium. Its description in RNAcentral is "partial 16S ribosomal RNA". It matches the Rfam family "Bacterial small subunit ribosomal RNA", at positions 355 to 1376 of the family's 1533-position model. The record is from RNAcentral.